RNAcentral lists this small nuclear RNA (104 nucleotides) under Dasypus novemcinctus (nine-banded armadillo). Lineage: Eukaryota; Metazoa; Chordata; Mammalia; Cingulata; Dasypodidae. The record is from RNAcentral.
GUGCUCACGUCAGCAGCACAUAUUAAAAGGGAACAAUCCAGAGAAGAUUAACAUGGGUCCUGCACAAGGAUGAUGUACAAAUUUGUAAACCAUUCCAAAUUUUU